This 2096-nucleotide long non-coding RNA is filed under the name Salmo salar (Atlantic salmon). Its description in RNAcentral is "lncRNA (ENSSSAG00000109353.1)". Lineage: Eukaryota; Metazoa; Chordata; Actinopteri; Salmoniformes; Salmonidae. The record is from RNAcentral.
AUUUGUAUGUGUUAGGAAAAUGACUUAACUGUUCCACUCUAAAAUUAUAGAAUAGGGUGAUAUGUUUAAGAAUAAUGGGAAGAUAAAAUCAGGAUAUGGGGAGAUCGGUUAGGAUUGUAAAACUUUGAGGUGAUAUUCUUUAGUAGGGAUGUAAACUGAGUGAAGUUGUAGAUUAGGUAAAAGAAAAACAUUGGAGAGGUUUCAAACCAAGAGGGUCAUAAAGGGGGAGGGGAGGUGAAAGCCUUGAAGAAUGUGGCAAACUUUAUGGUUCUUUGUGGUGAGUGGAAAAGCACUGGUUGUUUGAGAAGGGAGUGGUCUAAAGAUAGGAAUAUGUGUGUGUAUUAUAAAAGGACUGAGUCCUAAUUCUCUGAAUAAACUACAGAUCUUUCGCAGAAAGCUGAGUCCUUGCCUAAUUAUUAUUAACCCAGUGUCUUACAAACCUUGGGGAUUAGUCAAGGCUUAUUGAUUGUUAAUUAUUAUCAUUGGGAUUUGAAAAUUCCCUUAACAAUUGGUCCUUCGAGCAGAUCUCAUAUACUUGUUGACUGUCGUUCCAGGGGACACUGAAAACCGUGCACGGGCGGAUGAAUCAUCCGUAAAAAACAAAGUCCUGCCCUCUAAUAAUCGAGGGUUCAUUUCAGGCCGGUGGUGAACUGGAAAACGACAGUAAACGGUGACGAGACCUAACCAAAAUUAUACCUCAGCUGCAAAGAAAAGGUGAAUUACAGGAGAAGGUGAUUCAUGCAAUAUAGCUUGGAGACUGGGUGUGGAUCCAGUCCCUGAGGAGAAAAGACUGGAAACAGCCCCGUUGGGAAGGACCCUACCAGGUUCUGUUAACUACCGCCUUUGCCAUUAGAAUAGCUGAGAGAGCCACUUGGGUCUACGUUACCCACUGCAAGAAGGUUUGGUGAGUAAGGCGUUGGAGAAUGCAGUGACUCAAAAGAUGGUGAGGUACGGGCCCAUCGCAGAGUCUGACCAAUUGAAUGAACGAGAUACAGAUCUAGACCUGAUGGACACCGCUGAUACAUUCAAUCCUGAGGAGCCAGAACUUAAUGAGACGAUUUUCAAUGUUUAGAGACUGUUUAUUCAAUGAAGAUCAUGAUGAUAAUCCUGAACAGAAGAGUUAGGAUUGGUAGUAGUAGUAAACAGCCAUUGAUGAGUAGAUGAUGUAUAUACAUUUAAUGGUUUGAUUUGGUAUGAUUUUAUUGUUUAAUAAAAAUUGAAGUAUCAGAGUGUAACAUUUAGUCAAAGGGUGGAUUUGUAUGUGUUAGGAAAAUGACUUAACUAUUCCACUCUGAAAUUAUAGAAUAGGGUGAUAUGUUUAAGAAUAAUGGGAAGAUAAAAUCAGGAUAUGGGGAGAUCGGUUAGGAUUGUAAAACUUUGAGGUGAUAUUCUUUAGUAGGGAUGUAAACUGAGUGAAGUUGUAGAUUAGGUAAAAGAAAAACAUUGGAGAGGUUUCAAACCAAGAGGGUCAUAAAGGGGGAGGGGAGGUGAAAGCCUUGAAGAAUGUGGCAAACUUUAUGGUUCUUUGUGGUGAGUGGAAAAGUACUGGUUGUUUGAGAAGGGAGUGGUCUAAAGAUAGGAAUAUGUGUGUGUAUUAUAAAAGGACUGAGUCCUAAUUUUUGACUUUAGAACGGGACUGAGUCCUAUUUUUUUACUUUCUCUGAAUAAACUGUACAGACCUUUUGCAGAAAGCUGAGUCCUUGCCUAAUUAUUAUUAACCCAGUGUCUUACAAACCUUGGGGAUUAGUCAAGGCUUAUUGAUUGUUAAUUAUUAUCAUUGGGAUUCGAAAAUUCCCUUAGCAGGCAGUCACCCUCCCCUAGAUGCAGCCAAACCAUCCUUGUUCCUACACUUGCUCAGUUAAGAGAGAGAAUAGAUUUAAAGGAAGCAGGUAGAAAAAGAGAGAGAGAAGUGUGAAGAGACAUAGGAAGGGAGAGCGGAAGGAGAGUGAGGGAGUACAGAGACAGAGGAAAAUGAAGGAAGAUGAAAGUAGGGGAGAUGCAGGAAGAGAGGGAGAGAGAGUUUAAAGAAAGGGAGGCGCAUGAAGAGGUUUGUGAGAUGCAGUUGUUCUGCUGAGCCCAUUCUGUUUUCUCCCCAG